This is a long non-coding RNA of Homo sapiens (human), 2655 nucleotides long. Ensembl annotates it as TMEM72 antisense RNA 1. Its record names the gene TMEM72-AS1. Lineage: Eukaryota; Metazoa; Chordata; Mammalia; Primates; Hominidae. The record is from Ensembl.
AUGAGGACAGUCGGACACAGGGAAGAAGGGGCUCCACCAGCAGCACCCAGCGAGCACCCGGCAUGCCUGGGAUUCGAGUGCAGGCCUGUCUGAUUCUGUAGGGAGGAGAAAAUCUUCUUUCCUCUACCCCUCUAGGUUCUCUGGCUGGGGCUCUGAAAGAGACUGACAAAGGCAGAUUAACGAGAGAAAAACAGACACGAGUUUAUUACCACGUGCAUCACGCACACCCAUGGGAACGUCCGCACUUUGUCCCAGGAAUGGGGUCUGUAAUUCAGGGACCUGUAGAAGUUCACAGUGUGAGAGGAAUGAAGUGUCCAAUCUGCAAUCUGAAUCUUCCCUAUGAAAUUUCCACCUGGUGCCCUCCAGCGCAGAUUCUCGCACCCACAGUCCUGCCUUACAGGGCAGACCAUUUCCUCUCUGACAGUACUACCUGUCUGAAUGUUCUGCUUCAAACUGAGUCAAGAUAUGUGAACCCUGGGUAGAAGAAUUAUCAGGUCUGGAGGGAGCACAAGCAAACUAUCCCAUUUUAUGGACGUGGAAACCGAGGCCUGAGGGAGAGACGCACCAGGAAUCAGGAGAUCUGGCUCUGAUCAGCUGUACAAAUUGAGAAUUGUGACCUGACCUUGUCCAACCCAAGUGGCCCAACUCCUAAUUCUGUGAGUGACAUGUCUCUGUUACUUUGGAAUAUUGAUUGAAGAAAAAUCACAAGAGUUUCUAUCUUAUGGCCUCUUUGAAUCUUUGAGAAUUGGCAAAACCCAAAGUCAGAUGCCAUUAAGAACAUUCAUGAUUCAUGAGAGGAGAUCAAAAUAUCAACAUAAACAGGAGUUUGAAAGAAGUUGAUUUCAACCCUUGUGGAUGACUAUGAGAGAUUCAAGGCUUCAGUGGAGAAUGCACCUACAGAUAUGGUGGAAACAGCAAAAGAAAUAGAAUCAGAAGUGGAGCCUGAAGAUUAAACUGAAUUGCUGCAAUCUCAUGAUAAAACUUGAACAGAUGAGGAGUUGCUUCUUACAGGUUCCUGGGCAGUGCAGUGGGAUGUCUGCUUGGUUUCUGCUGAUCCUCACAGAGCCUGGUGACUUCUUCCUCCCAGGUCUGUGGAUCAACACUGUCUCCCUGGCCUCUACCCAGCGCGCAGGACCCCUUAGCAGAGCAGGAGAACUCAGGAUCCAGCCAGCUGCCGGCACACUUUCGUCCUCCUCCGCACACGAGGAUCCCCAGGCCCAGCGGUGUUAGCCCAGAGAGGAGCGGCGUUUGGGAUGUGAUCCACAGCUGAUCCCUCGUGGCCCCUCCUCUCCCGAAUCCUGAAACAUGAGGAGGCCCUUCAGCUGCUGGCUCGGAGUCCGACUAUGGGAACUUUCUCCGGUCUACGGGGGCAGCAAGGGUCUCGCCUCAGGGACUUGGUUUAUUUAUCUAGCUGGACUCCAUCCCUUAAUAUCCUACUUACAGAGGAAGAGGCUUUAGCAGCUAAAUGCAGCCCCAUCCCCUCCUGUGGAGACUGUGAGCAGAAAAAGAACAGAUAUUUACAGAGGCCCGAGCCCCCCUUGUUGUUUUCUGCAAGGCUGUCGAGCUGGUGGAGCUUCAGGAUCCUGGUCAGGAACCCCGAACCCAGCGCUGGAGGCCCUGAAGAUCAGGGCACCCGACCCUCUUCCCAGCCGCCAAAGGCCUGUGUUGGUCUGAUUGUGGAUUCCAAGCUCUAAUUUCCAUCCAUCCUCCCAAUCCGAAUUCCCUUUGCAGACAUAAACACCAUCAGCAAUGUAGAGAAUGUGUUUCCUCAUCUUUGAAUAUUAACACUCAUCUGUUUAAUUGAGCUACUUUUUACAUACAUGUAAGAUGUGCUGCAAUUGCAAAAGAAACAUGUGCUUCGUGUUCUAUAAGCCAUAUCUUCCGCAAGACCUGCCAUCAAAUGAUUGCUCAAACAUUUGUUGAAUGGGAUGAGCAAUGGAGGUUCAGACAGGUGCCCUGACCUACCCAGGCUGGAGGGUAGGGAGCUAGAAAUUCAUACAACCAUGCCUUGUUCUACUUGUUUUGUGAAAGAAUCAUGUGACCAGUGACAAAGAGGCUGGGCAGCUGGGUCAGGCAGCAGGGACAGCGACUGAGCUGGGGGGACUACAGUGCUGUGCUCCUCUGCACCCGUGCUGGGAUGUCUGAGGCCAAGCUGACACUGGCCCCCCACAAUCCCUUGGGGCUGCUCCUCCUCAGGGAGUGGCUCUCCGGGUUUCCUGCUUGACUCCUGCUGCUCUUGUGUUGAAGGGCCGUCUCUGGGCAGCUCCCCCUGGCCCCUGGCCAGAGAGCCAGGCCCUGUCAGGCACGCACAUGGAGGAUGAGGGAGGUGCAGUUGUUUUCACAGGUGCAGACUCUAGAGGGACCCCACGUGGACUCUGUGGCUUCUGCCCCGACGCACUCGCGGGAGGACACAGCUCUGCCCGGAAGGGAGAGUGCUGAGCUGGGUCCCUGCUGCUCAUCUCUGUGGCAUCACCCUGUCAGUCCUUCCCUGUCACACAUAUGUUCCGCAAGACCUGCCGUCAAAUAUUUGCUCAGUCAAACAUUUGUUGAAUGGGAUGAGCCAUGGAGGUUCAGACAGAUGCCGUGACCUGAAGUGUCAAAUGAAGGGAUGCGUGUGUGAUGGCCUUCACCAUUUAUAUUGUUUUAAACUUGCUA